AAAAUUACAAUUAAAUAGCCCAACUCUUCAAUAUGUCAAAUGGAAAUACUAAUUAAAUAAAAACAAACUCAGUAACAUAAAUAUUUAGAACUUCAUUAAGGAAAAACAUAAAGUACAUAUAUAUUUGGAAUGGAGUACACAAGAGGGGUACCAAAGGGUUAUCCAAAUUAUGAUUGAGGUUGAAUUAAAGAUGGUGCCACAUAUAUAAAACCAUUAUCCUUAUAUAUUUUGAAGAGGUAGAGUGUUAUGAUUUUAAGGAGCUGGAAUUGGCUUCUUAAAAGACAAUGGUGGUAGAAAUGGUUUCUUGAAUUUGGGAUCAAAUGGUAGUUUAGGAAUAGACUUCUUCAACAAAGGCUUUGGUUUUAAGAAUUCCUCUGACUCAAUGGUAGGGAUAGGCUUAACAAAUGGCUCUGGAACAGGUUUAAGAACAGGAAUUGGCUUAACAAUUGGCUUUGGAACAGGUUUAAGAAUAGGAAUUGGUUUAACAAAUGGUUUUGGAACAGGUUUAAGAAUAGGAAUAGGCUUAACAAAUGGUUUAGGAACGGGUUUAAGAAUAGGAAUAGGCUUAACAAUUGGUUUUGGAACAGGUUUAAGAAUGGGAACAGGCUUAACAACAGGAAUUAUCUUUGGUAUUGGCUUAACUUUGGGAAUAGGUUUUGGGAAAAUACCUUUGAAUUUUGCUUCUUCACUGGGAAUAGGUUUUGGUGUUGGUUUCUUAUAGAANGGAAUUGGAAUAGGUUUAGGUUUAAUGAGAGGAAGUGGCUUUGGAAUAGGUUUAGCAAAUGGAAUUGGUUUAGGAAACANUCCUUUGAAUUUUGAUUCUUCAUCAUCAUGUCCUUCUCCAUUUACUUUUUCUAAAUCUUCAUUCACAACNAUCCCAUUCUUGUUCACUUCAUUUCCUGCAUAAAAAAUGCAGUUAUAUUAAAUAACAAAACGAACACAGGAAUGAAGUUCAUGAGGGAUUAGUGUCUAGUUUAAUAUAUUUUGAAAACUUACUAAAAAAGAAUAAUAAGCACAAACCUGAAAUUUGAGUAGUGGAAAGAACAGAAGCUAAGUUGAGAAGGAGCAACAAGGGAAAGAAGAAGCACAAGAACAGUUUUCUCAUUGUUAAAACAACUAAUGAAGCUAAAAGGAGAAAUGUCUGAAGGCUUGAGUCACAAGCUGCUGCAUAAUCACAUUAUUUAUAAUGUCUAUCUUUCAGGAUUUUUCUUAACA
This 1215-nucleotide long non-coding RNA is filed under the name Vigna radiata. RNAcentral describes it as "long non-coding RNA (VRAD_LNC007581)". The record is from RNAcentral. Lineage: Eukaryota; Viridiplantae; Streptophyta; Magnoliopsida; Fabales; Fabaceae.